Molecule: long non-coding RNA, 3487 nt
Filed under: Musa acuminata (dwarf banana)
Lineage: Eukaryota; Viridiplantae; Streptophyta; Magnoliopsida; Zingiberales; Musaceae
Description: long non-coding RNA (MACU_LNC009389)
Source: RNAcentral
GAGGAAGUCUUGGAAACAUUAGUUACAGCCUGAUAGUAGCAGGUUGCUUCCCAGUUUCGAGUUAAGGUAUUGUUAGCGGUGGGUUCAAUCCCGAGUUAGUAGUUGGGGAGUUACAGACAGGAAAGGCUGCCUUGGUGCUAAAGUAAGUAAGCCUGAGAUGUAGUAAAGUAAGCCCGAGAGCCAGUAGAGCAGGGUUUGGUUAAACUCAUAUUGCAUUAAGCCUUAUAGUAAUGAGUUGCAAGCCUAUUUCGAGUAUAAAGGUGCUAAUUGCUUAGUUUGAUUCCUUCUGGUAUUGUUUUGAUUCUUGUAGUUAGCAGUGGUAGACUCAAAGCAAAGAAAGUCAGGCCGGUAGCCAAGUAAGUAAAAGACUAUGGAUGGAGGGGCCCCCGAGGCGGGGGUUUUCAAACAAGUAAAGUCAGCCUAAAAGCAAGGUAGGACAGGCUUUUUCUCAGUAUAAGAAUCAAGGAAAGGGGAUGGUUUAGAAAGCAAAGAUUAGAAGCGAGCACUAUCCUAAACAGUAUGUAAACAACCUAACCAUUGGAUAUUUAAAGGCUGUGUGAGAAGCUAAGAAAAUGGGGCCUGUGCGUCGUUUGUCUUAACGAUAGAUGGAUAGCGCCUCUUUGAUCACUCUCUUGAUAGUGAGCCAAUGCCAACCCACUGUUUUUUGAAUCAUGAGUCUUGGGUAUCCGAACGAGAAAGAGGGCAUAGGGAAAAUAGUGGCUAACCCAUGGUCGGGUCCGUUGAAGAUAGUAGCGAAGCAGAGUAGCUCACCUGUAGGGAGAACCCUCAAAUAAGACUGGAAGUUGGUACCCUUAUAUCUAGUCUUGAAAGUGGGUACCCUUCUAUCUAGUAUAACAGACUCCGGAGAAGGUCAAAGUCUGAGGUGGGUACUCAUGAGAAAAUAGUCUCCGUCCCUUUCUUUUAUUUAUGAAAUAUGAAACACAAAAAAUAUAUAGUCAAAAGGUGUCCAAGAAGGAAGAAAGUAGAAUAUACAGAACAAGGGAAGGAGUGCCUAGGCACGAAACGAAUGAUGAGCUAACUGGCUGAAACCUGCCCACUCAGACAUAUGAGGAGUGCGCCGAGCCCUGACCCCUCUUGCUGCUGAAAGCUACCGAUCACUCUAUAUGAGGGAUUUCUCAUUCUUUACUUCAUACUCUCCCUACAGCCUCCCUACAGCUAAAGUCAAGUCUCAAAAGUGCAGUAUGGAGCCGUAAAGUAGACAAGUCAAGUAUGGAGCGUAAAGUAAAGUAUCAAAAGUCAGGAGUCAGCAGUCAGGAGUUAACCAAGCAACGGAACAAUAAAUCAUAGGAAGCAAAGCAGUGAGAUUUGGAGGUGCAUUAUUUCUAUACUCGUUAAGUCAUUGAACUACACUUGAAGAAUCGACCUCGAAUAGCAACAUAGAUAAACAGAAUGAAACUACUAUGGAAGGUAGAAAACAGAGAGGCUAUGCUAUAUAUAAGAUAGUCAUUUCCACAUGUGUUCUCUUCAACAAGAGCAAGGAAGGGCGAAAGUAGAAACUAUAGAUGCAACUAAGCGUCGGACCUACUACUGUUCCCCGACUAUAUUGCUCGCGUAUCUAGUAAAGUCUCUGGUAGUUCAAUCCCAGGUAAGCGAAGCAAUACUGUUAGGUUCAUUUCUUCAAUAAGUGUUUCACUCUCAGAUUUGAUGUCUUUUGCACUCAAUGAAACAAGUUGAACUCGCACUCAGCACCCCCAACUCGCUCACUUAUCCCGCUACAAGAAUUCUUUCCGUUGCUAGCUUAGCUUGUUCAUUACUAGAGUUUCUCGCUAAUACAUGAUUUCCCGUUCACCCGAACUCUUGCGCUGUUGCUUGUUCCCUGACUCGCGUUAGGAGCUUAACUCACAACUCACUCUAUUCUGCCUUACGAAGGCUACUGCUACGCCCCUUCCCUUCGGGUCAAGAUCUUAACUCACUUGUUAGUGCAAAAGAAUAGAAAACAACCAAUAGAGUCAACAACCAUAUCCUUUCUUUCAACGUUCAAGAGAUACCUAUAAUAUCUAAUAAAGAAAUACCUUUGAGGCUCUUAGCCCCUUGCUUGUUCUGUUACUUGCUUGAGCGGGACAAUAACUUCAAGCUUUCGAUUUUGUCCAUUCUAUUCUUGUGUACUCAAUGCACCAUCCUUAAAGCGGUUUAGUGACAUAGGUAUUCCUUACUUAAUUAGUUCACGCCCACUAAGGCAAGGAGAACGAGCAAGGAAGUAAGCUUAGGCUAUAAAGCAAAGAAUGGAGUUAACCCUUAACUACUAUAAGGACAGAGGAGAGAGGGAAUAAAUAAGCAAUGGAAGAGCGCAAUGAAUGAGAUCAUAGGAAGAGAACACAAACAAAGCAAAGAAUCAUAUAAUAGGUAAGAGAGCACAAAGCAAAGAAGAAGAUAAGUGAAAGCGUAUGGUGUGAACGAACGGCUAUAUUCUCUUCUUUCUUCUCAAGAGCAAGGAGUUAUUCUAAAGGAUAGGUCAGGGUUGAGUUAGCCCGUUAGCUUUGUAGAAAAGGAAGCAAUCCGCGGAUAAAGAGUGAUAGGUGAAGCAACGGAAUUAGUCACACUAGCUACAAGCAAUGGAACAGCGUCUCAAUUCUAUUAUUCCUCUAUUUCUUUUGCUGCCUUCCAUUCCACAAGCUUUAGUGCCGGUCUUUGUUUACUCUUGGGAACACGCCGGGCAAUCAAUAAGUUAGGAAAGGUGCGCGAGCAGAGUUUUGUUACCGCUACGUAGGCUCCUUAUCUACUUUCUCUUUUUUAACUACAGCUAACUUUCCACCGUAUUCCACUACACCUUCUAAAGUCAGGGCGCAAAGAUCAUACUUUAGUCUAUCGUUGGAUGCUGAUAAAUAAGAUUAUGCCGGAAGAGAGAAACAAGCUUUGGGCCGGGCAAUAAGUUAUGAUUAGGAAAGGCUAGAUUUCAUUAUAUUCUUUUGAACAAGCACUAGGGUUAGAGUUCCAGCAACGGUGCAAGAAUAAAUAAGUGAACAGUAUGUAUUGCCUGUUUUCGGCGAGUUGAGAGAAUCCGCAGUUCCAGAAUAAACAAUGCUAGUGUUGUCUCAAGGUGAAGUAGGCCAAGAUAACAAGUGGAUCUCGCCAAAAGUGCCUUAGUGAAGUCCGCCUUUUUAUUGAUUGAUUGGAUUUCUCUGACCCUUGCUCGAACGGCCCUAACUGAUACCUGAAGAAAUACUUAGCGCGUUAGCUUAUUGGAUUUAGGUUUCAGAAUCAAGUCAAGGGUAGCUGAACAGAAGAAUCAGAUAGGUAGCCGACGCAGAAAGGACUUGAGUGGAGGUAGGCAAGGGAGACGGCAACACCGAAGAGGAUAUUCCAUAUAGAAGAGAUUCUUUGAGGGUGUUGACUUUACUUCAUAUUCAUUCUUAUGUAACAUAGGAAUUCGAUUACUACAUUUCAAGAGCAGGAGCAGCAGAUCCAAGACGAUAUGUGAUUAAAGGCUACGGGUUUACGGGCCGGUGUGCUGGGUGGAUGGCUUUUC